CCUACGGGGGACAGCAGUGGGGAAUAUUGGACAAUGGGGGAAACCCUGAUCCAGCGACGCCGCGUGAGUGAAGAAGUAUUUCGGUACGUAAAGCUCUAUCAGCAGGAAAGAAAAUGGCGGUACCUGACUAAGAAGCCCCGGCUAACUACGUGCCAGCAGCCGCGGUAAUACGUAGGGGGCAAGCGUUAUCCGGAAUUACUGGGUGUAAAGGGAGCGUAGACGGCUGUGCAAGUCUGGAGUGAAAGGCGGGGGCUCAACCCCCGGACUGCUCUGGAAACUGUAUGGCUGGAGUGCAGGAGAGGUAAGCGGAAUUCCUAGUGUAGCGGUGAAAUGCGUAGAUAUUAGGAGGAACACCAGUGGCGAAGGCGGCUUACUGGACUGUAACUGACGUUGAGGCUCGAAAGCGUGGGGAGCAAACAGGAUUAGAUACCCUUGUAGUC
This 440-nucleotide ribosomal RNA is filed under the name uncultured bacterium. RNAcentral describes it as "partial 16S ribosomal RNA". It matches the Rfam family "Bacterial small subunit ribosomal RNA", at positions 338 to 795 of the family's 1533-position model. The record is from RNAcentral.